This 253-nucleotide ribosomal RNA is filed under the name uncultured bacterium. RNAcentral's name for it is "partial 16S ribosomal RNA". It matches the Rfam family "Bacterial small subunit ribosomal RNA", at positions 524 to 776 of the family's 1533-position model. The record is from RNAcentral.
UACGUAGGGGGCAAGCGUUGUCCGGAAGCAUUGGGCGUAAAGAGCGUGUAGGCGGUUUGGUAGGUCCGUUGUGAAAACUCGAGGCUCAACCUCGAGACGCCGAUGGAAACCAUCAGACUAGAGUCCGGAAGAGGAGAGUGGAAUUCCUGGUGUAGCGGUGAAAUGCGCAGAUAUCAGGAAGAACACCCGUGGCUAAGGCGGCUCUCUAGUACGGUACUGACGCUGAGACGCGAAAGCGUGGGGAGCGAACAGG